Molecule: ribosomal RNA, 451 nt
Filed under: uncultured bacterium
Lineage: Bacteria
Description: bacterial SSU rRNA
Rfam family: Bacterial small subunit ribosomal RNA
Source: RNAcentral
UGGGGAAUAUUGGGCAAUGGGCGCAAGCCUGACCCAGCCACGCCGCGUGAGUGAUGAAGGCCUUCGGGUCGUAAAGCUCUGUGGGGAGAGAAGAAUAAACCGGUGGAACAAUACCCGCUGGUCUUGACGGUAUCUCCUUAGCAAGCACCGGCUAACUCCGUGCCAGCAGCCGCGGUAAUACGGAGGGUGCAAACGUUGCUCGGAAUUAUUGGGCGUAAAGCGAACGUAGGCGGUCCGAUAAGUCGGAUGUGAAAGCCCUCGGCUUAACCGAGGAAGUGCAUUCGAAACUGCCGGACUUGAGUACAGUAGAGGGUCGCGGAAUUCCCGGUGUAGAGGUGAAAUUCGUAGAUAUCGGGAGGAACACCAGUGGCGAAGGCGGCGACCUGGGCUGACACUGACGCUGAGGUUCGAAAGCGUGGGGAGCAAACAGGAUUAGAUACCCCCGUAGUCC